This 301-nucleotide ribosomal RNA is filed under the name uncultured bacterium. Its description in RNAcentral is "partial 16S ribosomal RNA". It matches the Rfam family "Bacterial small subunit ribosomal RNA", at positions 509 to 807 of the family's 1533-position model. The record is from RNAcentral.
CAGUAGCCGCGGUAAUACGGAGGAUCCAAGCGUUAUCCGGAAUCAUUGGGUUUAAAGGGUCCGUAGGCGGAUCUGUAAGUCAGUGGUGAAAUCUCACAGCUUAACUGUGAAACUGCCAUUGAUACUGCAGGUCUUGAGUAAAUUUGAAGUGGCUGGAAUAAGUAGUGUAGCGGUGAAAUGCAUAGAUAUUACUUAGAACACCAAUUGCGAAGGCAGGUCACUAAGAUUUAACUGACGCUGAUGGACGAAAGCGUGGGGAGCGAACAGGAUUAGAUACCCCAGUAGUCCCUGUCUCUUAUAC